Molecule: long non-coding RNA, 510 nt
Organism: Oncorhynchus masou masou (cherry salmon)
Lineage: Eukaryota; Metazoa; Chordata; Actinopteri; Salmoniformes; Salmonidae
Exons: 3
Source: RefSeq, a predicted model, not a curated record
UGAGGCAUAGCCUGUCAUGACAGACAGUCCUAGUCAACAGCAAUACUCAAACUGAACAGGAUGUGUUCAUGGCUCUGGCUGUAAGCAGACAUACUCUAAAAAGAGAUAGGUUUAACACACAAGGGAAGGGCUACAAGGAAAGAAUGCCUGAGAGGCCUUCAGAGGGGAAAACUGACAAGCUUCAGACACCUCAAACCGGGUGUGGACUGCAGGAGCAGUAAACAGGCUGCCGAUUGCGUCACCUGACUUGACAGAUGUGUACUCCAAUCAAGUUGAAGAAACAUCUCAAGGAUGAUCAAUGGAAACAAGAUGCACCUGAGCUCAAUCUCGCCUCUUAUAGCAAAGGGUCUGAAUCCUUAAGUGCAUGGUGUACCUCGGCAGACCCGGGCGGACAAGGCUGAGCGGCCGGGUGACCCAUGGUUGUCGCAGUGGACCACCCACAUCGCUUGCACCAGAGGAUGAAAAUUCUCUGGUGCAGUACUGUAUCUACCAAAAAACAAAACAAACAUU